Long non-coding RNA from Antechinus flavipes (yellow-footed antechinus), 508 nucleotides. RefSeq lists it as uncharacterized. The transcript is spliced from 4 exons. The record is from RefSeq and is a predicted model, not a curated record. NCBI's taxonomy places the organism in Eukaryota, Metazoa, Chordata, Mammalia, Dasyuromorphia, Dasyuridae.
CUUAACUGCACCUACCUGGACCAUAUUGUUCCUCCCACCUAAUUGAGACGAGUCAUUUCUGAAGACCUCUCAAGAGAAAGGAUUAGAAAUGGCAAAGUAUCAAACCAAAAAAGAUCAAGUAGGAUAAAUUAACUAAAAUCACAAGAAACUUCAAUUAAAGUAGGAAAUACAUGAAGAGACUUGUAUACAAACUCCCAGAAGCAUGAGCACCAUUACCACCUCCUCCACUACUCUUACCCCCACUUUAUUGGAAAAGGAAGAGGAGAUUCAGCAGCCAGUCAAAAAAGAAGAUGGAAUAGAAAUCAGAUUUUUGUAAACAGAAAAAAAUAAGAAAACAUGAAUGAAGCACACCAAGCAUUUCAGAGAACAGACUAUUGAUGCCACAAUAGCAAAUUCAGAAAUUGAAAUUCCAAACUAAGAGUUGUUGAUGUGGAAUGUUUUUAGUCAAUUAUUAAUGUGUGGGCAAAUAGAGCAACAACAUGUACAAUAAAUUUGGGCAUUUUCUUCA